This 253-nucleotide ribosomal RNA is filed under the name uncultured bacterium. RNAcentral's name for it is "partial 16S ribosomal RNA". It matches the Rfam family "Bacterial small subunit ribosomal RNA", at positions 524 to 776 of the family's 1533-position model. The record is from RNAcentral.
UACGUAGGUGGCAAGCGUUGUCCGGAUUUACUGGGCGUAAAGGGCGUGCAGGCGGUUUGUUAAGUGCAGGGUGAAAGCUCCCGGCUCAACUGGGAGAGGUCCUUGCAUACUGGCAAACUCGAGGGAGGCAGAGGAAAGUGGAAUUCCCGGUGUAGUGGUGAUAUGCGUAGAUAUCGGGAGGAACAUCUGUGGCGAAGGCGGCUUUCUGGGCCUUACCUGACGCUGAGACGCGAAAGCGUGGGGAGCGAACCGG